RNAcentral lists this ribosomal RNA (828 nucleotides) under uncultured bacterium. RNAcentral describes it as "bacterial SSU rRNA". It matches the Rfam family "Bacterial small subunit ribosomal RNA", at positions 8 to 859 of the family's 1533-position model. The record is from RNAcentral.
AGAGUUUGAUCAUGGCUCAGGAUGAAUGCUGGCGGCGUGCCUAACACAUGCAAGUCGAGCGGCAGCGCAAAGUAGUUUACUACUUGGCGGCGAGCGGCGAACGGCUGAGUAACGCGUGGGAACGUACCCCAAAGUGAGGAAUAACCGCUCGAAAGGGUGGCUAAUGCCGCAUAUGGUCUUCGGAUUAAAGGAUUUAUCUGCUUUGGGAACGGCCUGCGUACGAUUAGAUAGUUGGUGAGGUAAAGGCUUACCAAGUCUACGAUCGUUAACUGGUCUGAGAGGAUGAUCAGUCAGACUGGAACUGAGACACGGUCCAGACUCCUACGGGAGGCAGCAGUGAGGAAUCUUCCACAAUGGGCGAAAGCCUGAUGGAGCAACGCCGCGUGCAGGAUGAAGGCCUUCGGGUCGUAAACUGCUUUUAUAAGUGAAGAAUAUGACGGUAACUUAUGAAUAAGCACCGGCUAACUACGUGCCAGCAGCCGCGGUCAUACGUAGGGUGCAAGCAUUAUCCGGAGUGACUGGGCGUAAAGAGUUGCGUAGGUGGUUUGUUAAGUGAAUAGUGAAAUCUGGUGGCUUAACCACACAGACUAUUAUUCAAACUGGCAAACUCGAGAAUAGCAGAGGUAACUGGAAUUUCUAGUGUAGGAGUGAAAUCCGUAGAUAUUAGAAGGAACACCAAUGGCGUACGCAGGUUACUGGGCUAUUUCUGACACUGAGGCACGAAAGCGUGGGGAGCGAACCGGAUUAGAUACCCGGGUAGUCCACGCCGUAAACGAUGGAUACUAGCUGUUGGAGGUAUCGACCCCUUUCAGUAGCGAAGCUAACGCG